Molecule: transfer RNA, 72 nt
Organism: Ovis aries (sheep)
Lineage: Eukaryota; Metazoa; Chordata; Mammalia; Artiodactyla; Bovidae
Rfam family: tRNA
About the family: Transfer RNA (tRNA) molecules are approximately 80 nucleotides in length. Their secondary structure includes four short double-helical elements and three loops (D, anti-codon, and T loops).
Source: Rfam
UCCCUGGUGGCUCAGAGGUUAAAGUGGCUGCCUCCAAUGCAGGAGACCCAGGUUCGAUCCCUGGGUCGGGAA